RNAcentral lists this transfer RNA (73 nucleotides) under Ipomoea nil (Japanese morning glory). It matches the Rfam family "tRNA". From Rfam's summary of the family: Transfer RNA (tRNA) molecules are approximately 80 nucleotides in length. Lineage: Eukaryota; Viridiplantae; Streptophyta; Magnoliopsida; Solanales; Convolvulaceae. The record is from Rfam by way of RNAcentral.
GCCCGUCUAGCUCAGUUGGUAGAGCGUAAGGCUCUUAACCUUGUGGUCCUGGGUUCGAGCUCUAGGGUGGGUG